Molecule: transfer RNA, 72 nt
Filed under: Phrynosoma platyrhinos (Desert horned lizard)
Lineage: Eukaryota; Metazoa; Chordata; Lepidosauria; Squamata; Phrynosomatidae
Description: tRNA-OTHER
Source: RNAcentral
GCCAGUGAAGUACAGUGGUUUGAGAGUUGGACUGGGACUCUGGAGACCAGGGUUCGAAUCCUUGCUUAGCCA